UUCUGACCUCAGGUGACCUGCCUGCCUCGACCUCCCAGAGUGCUGGGAUUACAGGCGUGAGCCACCUCGCCGGGCCUAUUUAUUGUUUUUGAAUGUUGCAUUUCAAUACCUCACUGACCACAAGAAAUCUACAGCUUUUUCUCUCUGGAUUCCUUCAACCUCUCCCAAAUUGAGCGCCUGUCCUGGCCCAAUCGGGCAGGACUGAGGUGCCUGGUGGUCACCUCCUUAGAAGUCUGCUUCUAACUCCCCUCUGUGUGUGUGUGUGCGCAUGUUUUCCUUUCUCAUUGACAUUCCAGCCCUUGAAACAAGGUCUUGGCUCCUUUCUUAUUGCAGGAUUUCGUUUUGGGGGAGCUGGAACACCUGUCCACUGAUCGCCUGCCACUCCGCAUCUGGGCCUGGCUGACAGGCUUGUCUGCUUUGACUAAUGAUGUGAUUGAUGGACAAAAUAAGGAAGAACAUACAAAAAAACAUUUCUGUCUGGUCUGGUGUGUCAGCAAGCCUUCAUCAAGUGGCUGCUGAAGGUAUAUUUUGCUGCAUGGCUCAUUACACAGUAAUGGCAUUCCCAGGCAAAGCUGUUUCUUUUCAUGACACAAGACAGCAGGCAGCUUUAUGGGCGUUGGGCCCACCGAGCCCGGAGGAAGGAGAGGCGCACUAAAGAGCGGUCAUUUCCAAAAGUGCCUCAAGUUGCUUUUUUGUUGUCAUGAAUUUAAUAUGAAUCAACACAAUAUGAAAUGGGCAUGAGGGAUCUUAGUGACUAGUGAUUUUUUAAGACUGCUGUCUAAACAGCCAUCAAGGAAGAAAGGGGAGGGUGAAACCACAACAUUUUCUUUCUCCAAACCUGUUGCAAAAAGGAGUCAUCUGUCAAUUUUAUUGCAUUAAAAAAGUACACAGAAGCAUAUAGUCCAAACAAAUGUCUUCUUUCAGGCUAAACAUGUGGGAAAUGCCACAUAGCUGAUGCCAGAAUCAUCUCACUCAGCAAACUGAGUAUUCAUAACCCCCAUUCCAAUGGCCUGCUGCGGAUGGGGGUGACAUUCGUAAGAAUUACAAAUGCUACUCUGUUGCCUCUUUGUGCAUAUAAUAAUGAUCUGAACAUCAGUUCUGGCUGGAACAGGAGAGAAGCAAAGAACUGCUUCAUUCAGCUAACAAGAUACCUGUGGGUUAUAACCCAGUGCUGGAGGAUGAAAAGGAAUCACGAUUAAAAACAAGAAAUAGAGUAGGUAAAUUCUUGGCCUGAUUUUUUUUCUCCUCUUUCUUUAUUAGGGUACAGUUGAGAGCAGGAACGUUCGGUUUGGUCCCAGAGUUCCUACUUCAUUUUUGCAAAGUAUUUUAGCUGUCCUCGAUAUUAUUUCUUCUUUCUUUUUUUUUGUGGCAAAUUUUCUUUGCCAAGGUAUUUUAUUACACAUACUCCUCUCUUUUCUUUAACUUGCUGGACUGUCUCCAAAGAGAAAUGCUUAAAAUGAAGUUUCAUUUUACAAACACUUUUUAUUCUUUCUUGCUAGCCUGAUGAGUCUUUAGUGGUGGGUUAUUGUGAAUAAUAUGUGAUUUUAAUGAGUUGUGAUUAGACAAAACUCUCUUCCUAUAAUAAAUACUAGAUAAUAAAUUAGAAAAUAUAUAUGAGAUCUUUAUUCCUAUUUUAAAAGGGUGAAAGACAUAAAUGCAAAAGCUUGUUAUGAUAAAUAUAAAAGAUAAUCUUUUAACGUGCAUUUAAUUGACUGUGCUUCUAAGAGGCGGUGGUUUGACUUCUGUGCUGAUGUUAACAUUGCACAGCUCCAACCAAUGCAAACUGGCACUGGGAUGACAGCCACCUUUCCACCAGGGCCAUUAGUCGCCAGGCCUUCAGGGGGCAGGGAUUUUCAUGUAGGGCAGAGGCAUACAAAUUUAGAAAUGAACAUGUGAUCAAAUCCAAACAGUCAGAUGACUUCCUAUAUAUACAAUAAUGAGUA
RNAcentral lists this long non-coding RNA (1943 nucleotides) under Homo sapiens (human). Its description in RNAcentral is "HSALNT0258255". The record is from RNAcentral. Lineage: Eukaryota; Metazoa; Chordata; Mammalia; Primates; Hominidae.